ACAUGGACCACAACAUCUGGGUUCAUGCCCUCACUCUCAAGAAUAGCCUGCACCCGAUCUGAGAUGUCCCGGACCCUGGCACCAGGGAGGCAACAUACCAUCCGAGACUCCCGAUCUGCCCCACAAAAUCUCCUAUCUGCCCCCCUAACUAUAGAGUCCCCUAAAACUAUCGCUCUCUUCUCUUCACUCCUCCCCUUUCUAGUUGAGGGUUCAACCUCUGUGCCAGAGGCAGGACCACUACAACUCAUUCCUGGUAGGUCAUCCCCAUCAACAGUAUCCAGUACGGUAUACUUAUUGUUAAUGGGAAUGGCCGCAGGGGUGCUCUGCUCUCUCUGCCUGCUCCCCCUGCCUCUCUGGACCGUCACCCAUCUGCCUACUUCUUGGUUUUUUGGUGUGACUACCUCCUGAUACCUAUCUAUCUCUGCCUCCACCUCCCGAAUGAUCCGUAGUUCAUCCAGCUCCAGCUCCAACUCCCUAACUCGGUCUGAUAGGAGCUGCAGCUGGACGCACCUUUUGCAGGUGUGGUCAUCAGGGACAACUGUGUUGACCCUGACCUCCCACAUACUGCAUACGGAGCACACCACUGCUCUGACUGUCUCCCCCAUACCUGAACUGGAUUAAUAGAAUAAGUCUAAAAAGCACCUAGCGACCUUACCUUCUUCCCCUCAGCGAGCAAUCACACAGGCUUACCGAAGCCCACUUAGCCAAAGCCCAGGACUCUGCUUCCACGGACUCCGCUGCCCGCUCUGAAAAGAAGUCCUGCCUUUUAAAGUGCGCGCUCGACGCUGACGUCACUCGCGCCUGCGCAGUUCCCCCUCCUCCACAGGUAUUGACCAGGUAGGCUUAAAUCCUACCUACACGGUCGAAUUCUCUGAGCUCCCAGCUGAAUCACAAGCUGUAACUUGCUCCCGACUUGGAACCAAUCUGAGUUGGCAGAGCUGAGGUGAGGCAGAGUCAAGUUGGCGGGCUCCACGCCCAAGAGACUUGCACCAAAGAAGAUGAGUAACUUCACAUGUGGCUUUUGGAGGUGGCAUUAAAUCUGACAGCAAAGAAAUUCAGACUCACAGAUGUCACAUGGAUGAAAAAAACCUGCUCCGAUUCUCAGAGGCAUUGUGAAUUGACGUUUUUCUAAUGUCAUAAAAUAUCGCACACAGAUAAGGAUAGCUCUGCACUGUGCUGCAGACAGCCUCUUUUAAAGCCUACUUGAAAUGACACUUUGACACCACGAAUGAGGAGAGUGGCAAAGGUGACAUCGAGGGUGUCUUGUCGGGCCGUUUGGCAUGGGAAUUGCAAAGCAAAGCAUUUGACUGCAAGACCCUGCACUGAAUUGUGAGGACUGCUGGGAGAAACUUCGGGGUUCUCUCUCUCCCCCAGCCCCCCAUCAGCAUCCAGGACUUAUAACCAGAAGCAGUAGGUUUGCAGAGCCCUGUGCAAUGUCAAACACCCACCCUCCGGUCCCACAAUCUUUUUGACCUCCUACCUGUCACGCAAAAGGUACCACUGUAUAAGAACAAGGACUGUAAGGCUGGGCAGCUGAAGUGAGACUUCUGAACACACUGCUAUCACCUAGUACACGUUAAUUAUGGCA
Long non-coding RNA from Hypanus sabinus (Atlantic stingray), 1588 nucleotides. RefSeq lists it as uncharacterized. The transcript has 3 exons. NCBI's taxonomy places the organism in Eukaryota, Metazoa, Chordata, Chondrichthyes, Myliobatiformes, Dasyatidae. The record is from RefSeq and is a predicted model, not a curated record.